Molecule: long non-coding RNA, 5361 nt
Organism: Oncorhynchus masou masou (cherry salmon)
Lineage: Eukaryota; Metazoa; Chordata; Actinopteri; Salmoniformes; Salmonidae
Exons: 5
Source: RefSeq, a predicted model, not a curated record
GUGGACAUAAACAUUGAGUGGAACCGAAACAUCUGGCAGUUUGACUCCCAAGCUUUUUUCUGCGUCUUGGAAAUAUACAUGAACACAGGGAACCAACCCGAAUAAUGGAACAACUGGAAAUUAUAACUGCUUAUAUAACGCAGUUUAAAGUUGCGUAUGUGUCUAUUGCAAGAAAAAAUAUAAAGAGACAAUAUGCUGUAUAAAACAACUAUAAUCUCUCACGAAUGCAUUUAAAUAUUGUAGCAUAUGCUUAAAAAUGGGUGAUUGGAGCCCAACUGAGAUGCAGUGAUUGUGAAUUAAUUAUUUCCGACAUGAUUGUGACAGUUGGCUUCCCGUUGAUUGGCCCUUUUAUGUACAAUUCCCACACCCAUCCAGUCCAUUCUAUGGAAAGGUCCGCUCAUCUCCUUAGCCAAGCCGAGUUUAUGCGUGCUAGUAACUUAAAAUAGUCCAAAAAUAACAGCAUGCCUACAGGCAGGGAUACCUCGAGGUGAUGUAAGACCGCGAGCAGAGCUUUCAGGCAGAGAAGGACCUAUUGGAUCUAGCGUUAGUGUUAUUGCUAAAUUCUGCUCAUUUUGAUUGAAGCGAGACCAGGAAUAUACAGGAAAAAAAGCCUACUUACUUGCAUCACCGGGACAAAUUUGCACAUUUUGAAUAGAAUUCUGUGUUUUACUCACCUUGGGGGACACUGUUGGAGUAACAAAUUGUUGUGGGUGGGGACAUAUCCCAUCUGCCACUGCCCGAAUUCUUUGGGUUAGCAGCUCUCCACAUGGCUCAGUUAAAGGCGCUACAUGGUCAAUCUGCAGAAGUUAGAUCAUUCAUACUUCUUGCGCUUCGCUGAGCAGCGCAGGGCUGUUAUCAAGGAAGUGAGUUUGUGUUUAUGCUGGACCUCCAGCCCUCACCUACCACCACCCAAUAAUUUCAAUGCGGAGCUAUAUGUAGCCCUCCACAUUGUUACAUUUGAGAGGCGCUUGGUGAUGCGGUACGGAGCUCAAUUUGGCCUCUGGGUCCCUCUGGAGACUCCGCGAUUGCAUCACAAUAUCCAUACGACGCCUCCGAAUACAUUUUCGGAUCAAGCAUAAAUUGGCACUCGUGCCUGCUUUCACCGCGUGAGAAGCGACUCUCUGGAACUGUAGAGAUGCAUGAGAAACCACACUCCAAACUGCAGGAGCAUGCUACAGUCGAACAAGGCAUCGCAACGAACUGACUGGACUUUUAAUCCACACCAACGGAUUUAUACGGUUUAAAUCGAUGUUUAUUAAUUAAGCAGGUUUCGUCGGCAUCUGCUCCGUGGUUCGUUGACUGUUGGAUCUCAUUGGAUAGCAUAUCCCUUGACCCACGGCCAGAUGUGCGUGCUGUGCGUUAUGGAGUUAUAUAUCGAGUUAUGUUCAGCUGUGGAUCGAUUUACGCAUGCUUGAGGUUCAACAUUUAGAUGUUGACAUCCUACUUGGAUCUCUUUUUACUCACCAUGCUUAUGGAUAUUCAUAUCCCGCGGACCCAUUGGCGACAGUUUCCCAGGAGUUGGGUUAUAACUAUAGAACGCAUCAGCAUCAAUGACACAGGUGGAUGUCAACACGCGCAUUUUUUACAACUUGCCACAUAACGGCCCUUUGCUUAAUGUAAGAAGAAACUCGAUUUUGGAUUGUAAAAUGGCACACCUGGAUAAGACGUGGCAAGAACAUAAUUUUGAAGUGGCCUUACAGCUGGUGCGCUGCCUACCCAUUCCAGCAGAGGAGCCGCUGGGGCCUGAGCCGUCGAUGGAGGCGGCUAUUACUGAGGUGAUGGAGGACAUUGGACGAAGUGGACUACCUUUUGGGAGUGGCUCCAGCUGCAGGCCACCCCUUUCCUGGUUGACGCCCUGGGGUGCAGUUUCCCUGAUGGCUGGGGGAGCUCUACCCUGCUGACCCUCGAGGAGGAGUGCUUCAGGGGCCAGAGAUUCCUGCUGCAUCUGCUGGGACCCGACAUCUCACCAGGGUGGGAGCCACGUUCCUGUCAUCUUGAGUGUGCGGAGUAGGAGUACUGCUGGUUCUGUCUGGAAAGCGACCAUGGCUCUGGGCCUGACGUCCCAAAUCGUCUCCCUACUGAUGUGGCCACUGUCGUCAGAUCAGAUGGGCUAGCCAACGGUGUUUUUCUCCAGCCUUGGAGGGCCUACCUACCGACUCAAGUGCGUAACAAAUGCCUUGGCGAGUCAGAAUGCCCGGAGCAAAUUAAACAACAGGGAAUUCCGGUCACCGCCACCUCCUCGGUGACAAACACUCUGCCAUGGUAAUGGCAGGAAAACAGGACAGCCGUGAAGUCAAUUCGGCCCUGGACGUGAUAUGAAGAAAUGGUGUGAGGACAAGACCCCCAAGCCUCUCCCUCUACUGAAAGCUGAGUGGGACAGAGAGGGUGUGAAGAAAGACGCCCCCCUCUACCCCUUAGUCCGGAAGAGAGACGUAUUAACCAGUUGAAAGAAAGUGACUCACACUCUCCUCUCUGCUCAUCCAUCCCAUCCCUCAUUCCCAUCUGGUUUGUAUUUCUUUGGAUGUUUCUCCACCUCCAGCCUCUGGGUAGUACCAGCGCCAAGGCCCAGAUGGCUGCCGACCCAGCCCCACCACGGAGAGUGUACACUGGGUUGGAAAACGCCUGGGCUUGCCUCUUGGCUGGGGUAUGGAUGGUGGGGUAUGGUUGGGAAGGGAAGGGCGGACUUGGCUGGUGAUGGGACUUGGAUGGACCGCACUCCGGCGCCGACGCAACAUCCAUCGAUCAUCCAUCGCAUUCAUUGGUAGUUGAUACCCUCCGUGGUGAGGGCGAGAGCCCAGUCGUGUUGAGGGGUGUUGCGGCGUGGACAGUCAGAGAGGACGCCACAGACUGGCCAGACGUCCCCUAGAUCAGUAACUGAGACUGGCAUCUCAAGGAACUGGCGCGGGCAUCAGUACCAGACUGGUAAACUGGCAUGAGAAACUAUUUUAGCAUCUAAAUACCAUGUCUAAAUGUAAUGGUUUUCAGCUCCAGAAGUCAGCAUGGAGAAGCUGAUUGGUGCUGUAUUGUAGUCUGUUUUUAACAGACAAGAGACAUAUGAUAUCAGGACGACCUACUUUUGAUGACACACUUGUGUUUGAAGCUCAGAGGGAGAACACACUGGUGAAGGAAGUAUUAUUAUCCUCUUAUGGCGGCAAUCCCCGUACAGGGAUCAACAGCAGGGGAAAUUUCUGAGUGACUAACUAAAAAUACAACGUCGUAACAUUUAAACAUUCUUGAAAAUGCAAGUGUCUUACAUCCUUCAAAAGAUUAGAAUCUUGGUAAUCAAACUACGUUUACCGAUUUCAAAUAGCUAUUACAGAGGACAAAUGCCAUGCUUUUGUUUGAGAAGAGCGAUCAUCAACAACAAACAUUUUCCGCCAUGACAGUUUUGACACAUUCACAUCUGAAGGUAAAAUUAUGACUUACAUUCUGAUAUCUUGCUCUUAUCUCUCUUCCUGAGGGUCCCAGUGAUCAAAUGAAGUGCCGUUUUCUUUGAUAAAAUCCAUUUUCAUAGCCUAAAACAAAACAUUUUGUAAACCGUUUGUGUCUUGAAUUCCAUCUCUAUCAACUUUUGACGGAGCAUUCAACGUAAUUACACACACUAAACAAUUAUUUAUCUAGUCAUAGUUGGUUUCAGUGCAAUGCUCUGGAUGUUUGCAACACAGCCAAACUUGAUUGUUUUUUUUGCGGGGAGUAUUGACUGAAGUGAACUGAUUUGAAGACAACGAGCAAUGACUACAUUGCGCACCAAUAAUAUGAGCGAAGCUUCGUUGAUUGACUGUAUUUCUGCCCAAUGACCACUGAUCUUCUUGAAAUCUAGCUGCGUAGAUAGCCAAUGAGCUGAGGUAAACGUCAGUAUGUGAUGGUUAUGGGUUGGACCACCAUCCCUUGUUUGUAAACGCAUGCGUAACAAACUUCGUUCUCGUCAUUGACCGUCAGAGUAGUUGCAGUCACGCUUGUUACGCACAACAGUGUUUUGGAAAGUAGUAUUUUGGAAAGUGUUUUUUUCAACGAUUUCAUUGAAGACAUCAUAGCGAAUAAAUCAGGAAAAACGAAGUCCUAGUCUAAGUAUACAGAUUUGCACGAGAUUAUAGAAGAGAUUGAUCAGGAAAGUGAGACAGAUUUUUGUUUGAAGAAUCUUUGAGUGAACACAGUUAUGAUUCAAACAUUGAGCUGUUUCUGCAAGGACAGGAUGUACUUCUGGACUGGUAAGUGUUAAUGCCGUUUUAUGAAAUAUAAAUAUAUAUAAUAUUAUUAUUAUUAUUAUUAUUUUUCAAUUUGCAAUGAAAAGUGUAAAUUACUCAUUGGCUAUAGUGUUUGUGUGUGUGUAUGUGUGUGUGUGUGUGUGUGUGUGUGUGUGUGUGUGUGUGUUGUUGGCUUGUUUGGGUGUGUGUGCUUGUAUGUGUAUGUGUGCGUAUAUAUAUAUAUAUUAUAUAUAUUAUAUAUAUAUUCCAUGUCAGAUAUAUAUAUUUUCCAUUUUUUAUUCAAAUGGAAUGGAGUAGAACAGCAAACACACACAUGGCCACUGCGCCUGCUACUCCUCUCUAUUUCCAUAUGAAAUAGCCAUUGGAUGCUGCUGGGGGGAUGGCAGGCCCACAACAAUGGCUGGAGUUGAAUGGAACAGCACUUCACCUUAGUGACUGUUCCUUCUGCUCUAUACAAUACAUAUCUGUUUAUUUUAUGUGAUGAUAAAAGGCUCAUACAAUACAAAUAUUUUUUUAAAUGUUUUCUUUCACAGUGAUAGCGACUCCGACUGGGAGCCCCCGUUGCCAACCUGCCCCAUCUACUCCUGCCUCCAGUGGUGUUCAUAUGCCACAGUUCAUUACUGCAGGCAUGACUGUGCCUCAGGGCCAAAAGGGCACAGCAUGGAGGCGUCGUUGUGUUCUGUGUCGCAUGAAGUCCCCAUCACCUACACCACUUGUUCAGUUUGCCUCUGCUUUACAUCAGAAAGAGACUGCUAUGGGACAUGGCACAAGGCAGCAAAAUAUUGUGUAGAGGACUUCCAAAGGUUAAAUAUUUUUUUCUAAUAUUUAAAAAAAAAUGUAUACAUUUUUUUGUGUGUUAGAAUUGCUUUUUAAUAUGUUGUAUAUAGUUAUUUGCACUGUUGUAUAUAGUUAUAGGUCAUUUCACCAAUUCGGCCACUUGGGUACAUUUGGGCAACUUGUGUGGGACACCUGGGUGACUUCAUGCUAAAUGUCAUGUAGCUCACCCAUUCCUGAAGUUAUCAGUCUGAAAUGUUGCACACCUACAGUUGCCCUCUUGUGUUAUCCAUCAAAAUUAUAUCCAGCAUCCUAUCUGACUGUGUGGCUAUUCUAUUACAUGUGAAAGAUGAUGCUACAACAAUAAAAAACAGAAAACGUA